GAUGAAGAACGCAGCGAAAUGCGAUACGUAAUGUGAAUUGCAGAGUUCAGUGAAUCAUCGAAUCUUUGAACGCACAUUGCGCCCGCCAGUAUUCUGGCGGGCAUGCCUGUCUGAGCGUCAUUUCAACCCUCAUGCCCCUAGGGCGUGGUGUUGGGGAUCGGCCAAAGCCCGCGAGGGACGGCCGGCCCCUAAAUCUAGUGGCGGACCCGUCGUGGCCUCCUCUGCGAAGUAGUGAUAUUCCGCAUCGGAGAGCGAUGAGCCCCUGCCGUUAAACCCCCAACUUUCCAAGGUUGACCUCAGAUCAGGUAGGAAUACCCGCUGAACUUAAGCAUAUCAAUAAGCGGAGGA
RNAcentral lists this unclassified non-coding RNA (348 nucleotides) under soil metagenome. RNAcentral's name for it is "partial contains 5.8S ribosomal RNA, internal transcribed spacer 2, and large subunit ribosomal RNA". The stretch from base 1 to 120 matches the Rfam family "5.8S ribosomal RNA", at positions 35 to 154 of the family's 154-position model. The record is from RNAcentral.